AGCAGCCGCGGUAACUCCAGCUCCAAUAGCGUAUAUUAAAGUUGUUGCAGUUAAAAAGCUCGUAGUUGAAUUUCGGGAUCAGCAGGUUGGUCGUGCCUACGGUAUGAACUGGCCUUGCUGAUUCCUCCCUCUUGAUGAGCCGUAAUGCCAUUAAUUUGGUGUUGCGGGGAAUCGAGGACUGUUACUUUAGAAAAAUUAGAGUGUUUAAAGCAGGCAAGCGCUUGAAUACAUUAGCAUGGAAUAAUGAAAUAGGACGUUUGAUCCUAUUUUGUUGGUUUCUAGGAUUGACGUAAUGAUUAA
Molecule: small RNA, 300 nt
Filed under: uncultured Glomus
Lineage: Eukaryota; Fungi; Glomeromycota; Glomeromycetes; Glomerales; Glomeraceae
Description: SSU rRNA
Rfam family: Eukaryotic small subunit ribosomal RNA
Source: RNAcentral